Molecule: non-coding RNA, 30 nt
Filed under: Macaca fascicularis (crab-eating macaque)
Lineage: Eukaryota; Metazoa; Chordata; Mammalia; Primates; Cercopithecidae
Also listed under: 1 other name
Source: RNAcentral
UUCAGGAUGAAUUGAAGAAGUUAGCUAGGC